CUUACACAUGCAAGUCGAGGGGUAACGAUGGUGCUUGCACCAGGCGACGACCGGCGGACGGGUGAGUAACACGUAUGCAAUUUGCCUUUAACUGGAGGAUAGCUUCGGGAAACCGUAAUUAAUACUCCAUAGUAUUCAAAAGACGCAUGUUUUUUGAAUUAAAGCUCCGGCGGUUAAAGAUAAGCAUGCGGGACAUUAGCUAGUUGGUAAGGUAACGGCUUACCAAGGCGACGAUGUCUAGGGGGUUUGAGAGGAUGAUCCCCCACACUGGUACUGAGACACGGACCAGACUCCUACGGGAGGCAGCAGUGAGGAAUAUUGGGCAAUGGGCGCAAGCCUGACCCAGCCAUGCCGCGUGCAGGAUGAAGGUCCUAUGGAUCGUAAACUGCUUUUGUAUGGGAAGAACUUCCCGCAUUCGUGCGGGAUUGACGGUACUAUACGAAUAAGGACCGGCUAACUCCGUGCCAGCAGCCGCGGUAAUACGGAGGGUCCAAGCGUUAUCCGGAUUCACUGGGUUUAAAGGGUGCGUAGGUGGAACGAUAAGUCGAUGGUGAAAGCCUACAGCUUAACUGUAGAAUUGCCAUUGAUACUGUUGUUCUUGAGUAUAGUCGGGGGAAGUGGAAUGCGUAAUGUAGCGGUGAAAUGCAUAGAUAUUACGCAGAACACCGAUCGCGAAAGCAGCUUCCUAGGCUAUUACUGACACUGAGGCACGAAAGCGUGGGGAGCGAACAGGAUUAGAUACCCUGGUAGUCCACGCCGUAAACGAUGCUCACUCGCUGUUGGCGAUAUAUUGUCAGCAGUUAAGCUAAAGCAUUAAGUGAGCCACCUGGGAAGUACGUCCGCAAGGAUGAAACUCAAAGGAAUUGACGGGGGCCCGCACAACCGGUGGAACAUGUGGUUCAAUUCGAUGAUACGCGAGGAACCUUACCUGGGC
Molecule: ribosomal RNA, 934 nt
Filed under: uncultured organism
Description: bacterial SSU rRNA
Rfam family: Bacterial small subunit ribosomal RNA
Source: RNAcentral